Long non-coding RNA from Ictalurus punctatus (channel catfish), 528 nucleotides. The record is from Ensembl. NCBI's taxonomy places the organism in Eukaryota, Metazoa, Chordata, Actinopteri, Siluriformes, Ictaluridae.
CAGAGAGGAAGUGAGAGAGAGAGAGAGAGAGAGAGAGAGAGACAGACAGUCAGAGAGAGAGUGAGACAGAGAGACAGAGAGAGAGUGAGACAGAGAGAGAGAGAGACAGAAAGAGACAGAGAGAGAGUGAGACAGAGAGACAGAGAGAGAGAGAGACAGAAAGAGACAGAGAGAGAUAGAGAGAGAGAGAGAGAGACAGAGAGAGAGAGAGACAGAGAGAGAGAGAGAGAGACAGAGAGAGAGACAGAGAGAGAGUGAGACAGAGAGAGAGAGAGAGACAGAGAGAGAGUGAGACAGAGAGAGAGAGAGAGAGUCAGAGAGACAGAGAGAGAGUGAGACAGAGAGAGAGAGAGAGACAGAGUGGAAGAAAGAGUAGAGAGAGAGAGAGAGACAGAGAGAGAGUGAGACAGAGAGAGAGAGACAGAGACAGAGAAGUAGAGAGAGAGAGAGAGAGACAGAGAGAGAGUGAGACAGAGAGAGAGAGACAGAGACAGAGAGUGAGACAGAGAGAGAGAGAGAGAGAGCGAG